RNAcentral lists this unclassified non-coding RNA (181 nucleotides) under uncultured Ophiocordycipitaceae. Its description in RNAcentral is "sequence contains ITS1". Lineage: Eukaryota; Fungi; Ascomycota; Sordariomycetes; Hypocreales. The record is from RNAcentral.
CCGAGUUGUACCAACUCCCAAACCCCUGUGAACAUACCGCACGUUGCUUCGGCGGACCGCCCCGGCGCCCCGACCCCCCCGGGGGGAGGCGGCCCGGACCCAGGCGCCCGCCGGGGGACCCAAACUCUUGCAUUCGCUGUUUAGUGGAAUCUCCUUCUGAGUAAAGAAAACAAAUGAAUCA